GGGCGGUUAGCUCAGUGGUAGAGCACUGCCUUCACACGGCAGGGGUCACUGGUUCGAACCCAGUACUGCCCACCA
This 75-nucleotide transfer RNA is filed under the name Betaproteobacteria bacterium HGW-Betaproteobacteria-1. RNAcentral's name for it is "tRNA-Val". It matches the Rfam family "tRNA". Rfam says of the family: Transfer RNA (tRNA) molecules are approximately 80 nucleotides in length. Their secondary structure includes four short double-helical elements and three loops (D, anti-codon, and T loops). Lineage: Bacteria; Pseudomonadati; Pseudomonadota; Betaproteobacteria. The record is from RNAcentral.